Molecule: ribosomal RNA, 279 nt
Filed under: uncultured bacterium
Lineage: Bacteria
Description: partial 16S ribosomal RNA
Rfam family: Bacterial small subunit ribosomal RNA
Source: RNAcentral
UGCCAGCCGCCGCGGUAAGACGGAGGGUCCUAGCGUUGUUCGGAAUGACUGGGCGUAAAGGGUACGUAGGCGGUUUGGUCAGUUAGAUGUGAAAGCCCAGGGCUCAACCUUGGAACUGCAUUUAAUACUGCCAGACUUGAGAUCGGACGAGGAAAGCGGAAUUUCUAGUGUAGAGGUGAAAUUCGUAGAUAUUCGGAGGAACACCAGUGGCGAAGGCGGCUCACUGGCUCGAUACUGACGCUGAGGUACGAAAGUGUGGGGAGCAAACAGGAUUAGAUA